RNAcentral lists this ribosomal RNA (457 nucleotides) under uncultured bacterium. Its description in RNAcentral is "bacterial SSU rRNA". It matches the Rfam family "Bacterial small subunit ribosomal RNA", at positions 59 to 507 of the family's 1533-position model. The record is from RNAcentral.
AAGUCGAACGGUAACACGGAGAGCUUGCUCUCUGGCGACGAGUGGCGGACGGGUGAGUAAUACUUAGGAAUCUACCCAGUAGUGGGGGACAACAUUCGGAAACGGAUGCUAAUACCGCAUACGCACUACGGUGGAAAGUGGGGGACCUUCGGGCCUCACGCUAUUGGAUGAGCCUAAGUCGGAUUAGCUUGUUGGUGAGGUAAUGGCUCACCAAGGCGACGAUCCGUAGCUGGUCUGAGAGGACGAUCAGCCACACUGGAACUGAGACACGGUCCAGACUCCUACGGGAGGCAGCAGCAGGGAAUCUUGGACAAUGGGCGCAAGCCUGAUCCAGCCAUGCCGCGUGUGUGAAGAAGGCCCUAGGGUUGUAAAGCACUUUCAGUGGUGAAGAAACGCUUGAGGCUAAUACCCUCGAGUACUGACGUUAACCACAGAAGAAGCACCGGCUAACUCCGUG